UACGAAGGGGGCUAGCGUUGUUCGGAAUCACUGGGCGUAAAGGGCGCGUAGGCGGCCGAUCAAGUCGGGGGUGAAAGCCUGUGGCUCAACCACAGAAUUGCCUUCGAUACUGUUUGGCUUGAGACCGGAAGAGGUAAGUGGAACUGCGAGUGUAGAGGUGAAAUUCGUAGAUAUUCGGAAGAACACCAGUGGCGAAGGCGGCUCACUGGACUGGUAUUGACGCUGAGGUGCGAAAGCGUGGGGAGCAAACAGG
This 253-nucleotide ribosomal RNA is filed under the name uncultured bacterium. RNAcentral's name for it is "partial 16S ribosomal RNA". It matches the Rfam family "Bacterial small subunit ribosomal RNA", at positions 524 to 776 of the family's 1533-position model. The record is from RNAcentral.